UGGAAACGACUGUUAAUACCGCAUAAUAUCUGCGGAUUAAAGGUGGCCUUUGCGCUGCCGCAGAUGGAUGAGCCUGCGUUGGAUUAGCUAGUUGGUGGGGUAAGGGCCUACCAAGGCUACGAUCCAUAGCUGAUUUGAGAGGAUGAUCAGCCACAUUGGGACUGAGACACGGCCCAAACUCCUACGGGAGGCAGCAGUGGGGAAUAUUGGACAAUGGGGGAAACCCUGAUCCAGCAAUGCCAUGUGUGUGAAGAAGGCUCUAGGGUUGUAAAGCACUUUAGUUGGGGAGGAAAGCCUGUGAGUUAAUAGCUUGCAGGAAGGACGUUGCCCAAAGAAUAAGGACCGGCUAACUCCGUGCCAGCAGCCGCGGUAAUACGGGGGGUCCGAGCGUUAAUCGGAAUUACUGGGCGUAAAGGGUCUGUAGGUGGUUUGUUAAGUCAGAUGUGAAAGCCCAGGGCUCAACCUUGGAACUGCAUUUGAUACUGACAAACUAGAGUAUGGUAGAGGAAUAGGGAACUUCUGGUGUAGCGGUGAAAUGCGUAGAGAUCAGAAGGAACACCAAUGGCGAAGGCAACAUUCUGGACCAAUACUGACACUGAGGGACGAAAGCGUGGGGAUCAAACAGGAUUAGAUACCCUGGUAGUCCACGCUGUAAACGAUGAGUACUAGCUGUUGGAUUCGGUGUAAAGGAUCUAGUGGCGCAGCUAACGCGUUAAGUACUCCGCCUGGGGACUACGGCCGCAAGGCUAAAACUCAAAGGAAUUGACGGGGACCCGCACAAGCGGUGGAGCAUGUGGUUUAAUUCGAUGCAACGCGAAGAACCUUACCUGGUCUUGACAUCCUGCGAACUUUCUAGAGAUAGAUUGGUGCCUUCGGGAACGCAGUGACAGGUGCUGCACGGCUGUCGUCAGCUCGUGUUGUGAAAUGUUGGGUUAAGUCCCGCAACGAGCGCAACCCCUAUUGAUAGUUACCAUCAUUAAGUUGGGUACUCUAUUGAGACUGCCGCUGACAAGGCGGAGGAAGGUGGGGGACGACGUCAAGUCAUCAUGGCCCUUACGACCAGGGCUACACACGUGCU
Molecule: ribosomal RNA, 1078 nt
Filed under: uncultured Francisella sp.
Lineage: Bacteria; Pseudomonadati; Pseudomonadota; Gammaproteobacteria; Thiotrichales; Francisellaceae
Description: bacterial SSU rRNA
Rfam family: Bacterial small subunit ribosomal RNA
Source: RNAcentral